RNAcentral lists this ribosomal RNA (522 nucleotides) under uncultured bacterium. Its description in RNAcentral is "bacterial SSU rRNA". It matches the Rfam family "Bacterial small subunit ribosomal RNA", at positions 9 to 520 of the family's 1533-position model. The record is from RNAcentral.
GAGUUUGAUCCUGGCUCAGAUUGAACGCUGGCGGCAGGCCUAACACAUGCAAGUCGAACGGUAACAGAAAGCAGCUUGCUGCUUUGCUGACGAGUGGCGGACGGGUGAGUAAUGUCUGGGAAACUGCCUGAUGGAGGGGGAUAACUACUGGAAACGGUAGCUAAUACCGCAUAACGUCGCAAGACCAAAGAGGGGGACCUUCGGGCCUCUUGCCAUCGGAUGUGCCCAGAUGGGAUUAGCUUGUUGGUGGGGUAACGGCUCACCAAGGCGACGAUCUCUAGCUGGUCUGAGAGGAUGACCAGCCACACUGGAACUGAGACACGGUCCAGACUCCUACGGGAGGCAGCAGUGGGGAAUAUUGCACAAUGGGCGCAAGCCUGAUGCAGCCAUGCCGCGUGUAUGAAGAAGGCCUUCGGGUUGUAAAGUACUUUCAGCGGGGAGGAAGGGAGUAAAGUUAAUACCUUUGCUCAUUGACGUUACCCGCAGAAGAAGCACCGGCUAACUCCGUGCCAGCAGCCGCGG